RNAcentral lists this ribosomal RNA (383 nucleotides) under uncultured soil bacterium. Its description in RNAcentral is "bacterial SSU rRNA". It matches the Rfam family "Bacterial small subunit ribosomal RNA", at positions 26 to 411 of the family's 1533-position model. The record is from RNAcentral.
AGGACGAACGCUGGCGGCGUGCUUAACACAUGCAAGUCGAGCGGAAAGGCCCUUUCGGGGGUACUCGAGCGGCGAACGGGUGAGUAACACGUGAGUAAUCUGCCCUCCACUCUGGGAUAACGUUCAGAAAUGGGUGCUAAUACCGGAUGUUCACUGGGUCCUGCAUGGGGUUUGGUGGAAAGGUUUUUCUGGUGGGGGAUGUGCUCGCGGCCUAUCAGCUUGUUGGUGGGGUAAUGGCCUACCAAGGCUUUGACGGGUAGCCGGCCUGAGAGGGUGACCGGCCACACUGGGACUGAGACACGGCCCAGACUCCUACGGGAGGCAGCAGUGGGGAAUAUUGGACAAUGGGCGAAGCCUGAUCCAGCAACGCCGCGUGAGGNUGA